Non-coding RNA from Dipodomys ordii (Ord's kangaroo rat), 65 nucleotides. The record is from Rfam. Lineage: Eukaryota; Metazoa; Chordata; Mammalia; Rodentia; Heteromyidae.
GGUGGCUCAGUGGUAGAGUGCUUGCCUUGCAUGCAUGAAGCCCUAGGUUCGAUUCCUCAGCACCA